ACAACGGAGAGUUUGAUCCUGGCUCAGGAUGAACGCUAGCGGCGGGCUUAACACAUGCAAGUCGAGGGGCAACAUGGAAUCUUCUAUUAGAAGAUUUUGAUGGCGACCGGCGUACGGGUGCGUAACACGUAUGUAACCUACCUUUUGCUAGAAGAUAGCCUGAGGAAACUUGGAUUAAUAUUCUAUAAUAUGGAAUCCUCGCAUGAGGAUUCUAUUAAAGCAAUGUGGCAAAAGAUGGGCAUGCGUCUGAUUAGUUAGUUGGUAGGGUAAUGGCCUACCAAGACAAUGAUCAGUAGGGGGCCUGAGAGGGUGUUCCCCCACACUGGUACUGAGAUACGGACCAGACUCCUAC
This 352-nucleotide ribosomal RNA is filed under the name Flavobacteriales bacterium. RNAcentral's name for it is "bacterial SSU rRNA". It matches the Rfam family "Bacterial small subunit ribosomal RNA", at positions 1 to 342 of the family's 1533-position model. The record is from RNAcentral. Lineage: Bacteria; Pseudomonadati; Bacteroidota; Flavobacteriia; Flavobacteriales. RNAcentral also lists the same sequence under 1 other name.